This 232-nucleotide non-coding RNA is filed under the name Bacilli bacterium. RNAcentral describes it as "T-box sequence". It matches the Rfam family "T-box leader". Rfam says of the family: Uncharged tRNA acts as the effector for transcription antitermination of genes in the T-box leader family. Lineage: Bacteria; Bacillati; Bacillota; Bacilli. The record is from RNAcentral.
UCAAAUGCAGUGAUUGGGAAGAGUACAAAAUAAUACCUUCAGAGAGGGAAAUCUAGUGCUGAAAAUUUCCUAGGAAUACUUAUUUUGGAAGGUCGCCCAUGAUGCAGCUUCUUUGAACUUGCAGUAGAAGAAGCCGGUAAUAUGCCGUUAUGUGAAUGAAGUGUAUUAAUUCAAUUUUUGGAAUUAAUAAACAAAGGUGGUACCGCGAAAAUCAAUCCUUUUCGUCCUUUUA